GGUGCAGGGUGCUUCGCGGGCAACUGGGGCAGGUUCAUUCUCGCCACGUGUGCUUCAGGUGUGUGACAGGUACCACAGCAUUGCUGAGCAAAGGGGCUCAAAAUCCAACACGUCAAGCGGUCAGCAACAAACAGCACUCUCUCACCCUGCGUGUUCGUGACCUCGCUUGGAGCCGAGCCCCGCACUGAUCCGAGGCGGAUGGAGGCGACGCCACGGGGCUCCAUCGCGCUCUGGUCGCGCCGGGAGAAAGCCAGGGUGGUCCUCAUGUCCGUGUUGCUGGUGCCCGCGCGGCUGCUGCUCUUCGCCUGCGCUGCGUGCGCCGCCUGCGCGCUCGCCCUCGUCUCCAGCAUCGGCACGCAGCUGCCCCGGCCCCCCUC
Molecule: non-coding RNA, 377 nt
Organism: Petromyzon marinus (sea lamprey)
Lineage: Eukaryota; Metazoa; Chordata; Hyperoartia; Petromyzontiformes; Petromyzontidae
Source: RefSeq, a predicted model, not a curated record